RNAcentral lists this ribosomal RNA (531 nucleotides) under uncultured Shewanella sp. RNAcentral's name for it is "bacterial SSU rRNA". It matches the Rfam family "Bacterial small subunit ribosomal RNA", at positions 534 to 1059 of the family's 1533-position model. The record is from RNAcentral. Lineage: Bacteria; Pseudomonadati; Pseudomonadota; Gammaproteobacteria; Alteromonadales; Shewanellaceae.
CUGAGCGGUGCGCGGAUCCUGGGCUUAAGGGUGCGUAGGCGGAUGUGCAAGUGCCUUGUGAAAUCCCCGGGCUCAACCCGGGAACUGCUUGGUAGACUGCAUGUCUAGAGGUCGGUAGGGGUUGCUGGAACAGUUGGUGGAGCGGUGAAAUGCGUAGAUAUCAACUGGAACGCCAAAGGCGAAGGCAAGCAACUGGGCCGAUUCUGACGCUGAGGCACGAAAGCGUGGGGAGCAAACGGGAUUAGAUACCCCGGUAGUCCACGCCCUAAACGAUGUACACUAGAUCGUGGAGGCUCUGACGCCGUCAUGGUCGAAGAAAAAUUAUUUAGUGUACCGCCUGGGGAGUACGGUCGCAAGAUUAAAACUCAAAGAAAUUGACGGGGGCUCACACAAGCGGUGGAGCAUGUGGCUUAAUUCGAAGCAACGCGAAGAACCUUAUCCAAGGCUUGACAUGCACGGAUUAGUUCGGUGAAAGUCGGAUGACACUCGCAAGAGUGGAACGUGCACAGGUGCUGCAUGGCUGUCGUCAGC